This 1085-nucleotide long non-coding RNA is filed under the name Homo sapiens (human). Its description in RNAcentral is "HSALNT0376201". The record is from RNAcentral. Lineage: Eukaryota; Metazoa; Chordata; Mammalia; Primates; Hominidae.
CUCUGUGUCAACCUUCUUUUAUUUUUAAAAGAUAUUCACUGUCUCUUACUAAAGCUUCCUGUUCAAAGUCUGGCUGAGAAUUUUUGCUGCUUCUUUCCCUACCUCCUCAUUUCCGAAGGAGGUACCUUUCUGGCUUCUCUGUUGAACAUUUCCUAAAUAAAGUGUGGAUGAAAAGCAAUAGAGGAAGGAAAUGCAGAAAAUUAUAAGGCUGAAAUAGAAACUGGCCACAGCAGAGAUUAAAGGUUCUUCAUUAAUUUAGACAACUUAAGGGUAUCCUGAGGAGAUGAGAUCAGGACCUUCAGAUUACGAGACUCACGCCCUGCUGGCUGCGCUAAGAGGGCUCCUGAGGAGAUGAGAUCAAACAUAGGAAGAAAAAUGGAGUCUCCAAGAUGUCCACAUUUGAAUCUCUGGAACCUGUGAAUAUGUUACUUUAUAUGGCAAAAGGAACUUUGCAGGUGUGAGAAAAGUUGAGGACCUUGAGAUGGGGAGAUCAUCCUGGAUUAUUUGAAUAAGCCCAAAUUCAUCAAAUGAAUUCUUAAAAGAACCUUUCCUCUGAGAUGAGAGUCUGAGGGAGAUGUGGCUAUGGAAGAAUGGUCAGAGAGCAAUGCAAAGCUGCUGGCUGUGAAGAUGGAAGAAGGGGCCAUAAGCCAAGAAAUAUGGUUGGUUUCUAGGAGCUGGAAGAGGCAAGAAGACAUAUUCUCCUCUAGACCCUCCAGAAGAAAUGCAGCCUCACUGACACCUUAAUUUUAGCCCUGAAAGACCCAUUUCAGAACUCUGACCUACAGAACUGUAAGAUUGUAAGUUUGUAGUGUUUUAAGCCACUAAAUUUAUGGUAAUUUAUUAUAGCAGUAACAGAAAAUCAAUAUAUGCUUUAUGCAGGUAGUACUAAAUUACAUAUUGCAGGUUUAUGUUUGUUUGAGGACAGCUCUUUCUUUAUUUUUAGAGAUAGCACCUUGCUCUGUCACCAGGCCGGAGUGCAGCAGUGUGUUGAUAGCUCACUGGAACCUCAAAUUCCUGGGCUUAAUCCAUCUUCCCACCUAUAUCUCCCACAUGCAUGUAGCUAGGACUAGAUGCAUGUGCCAGCA